CGAGUAUUUUGUAGCGGUUACCGUAGCGCCGGUACACCGGGCAACCCUAUUUUAAAGAGGAGCGUUCGAUUGAUGCACACAACAGGAAGCAAAGUUGCAGACCGACGUGGAGUGCUUUUAGGCACAGGCGGACGUUUUCUCUUCAGGAACCGUCGUUCUACGUUGAGGACCUCUUUGUGGACUUGUGCUUGACUGACCCCCAGCAGAAAUGAG
Triplophysa dalaica is the source of this 213-nucleotide long non-coding RNA. RefSeq lists it as uncharacterized. Lineage: Eukaryota; Metazoa; Chordata; Actinopteri; Cypriniformes; Nemacheilidae. The transcript is spliced from 3 exons. The record is from RefSeq and is a predicted model, not a curated record.